AUGCUCCCAGUCUGCUCAGGAGAUCGUGGCUCAUUCCCCUUCUCUGGGGUAGUAUGCAUAUGUCCCUCCCUCGGGAAGCUGUGUGCUUGGAUCGAAGAGGACGACCUUCCGACCUUCCCCUAAUAGAGGAGGACCAGUCUUUGGUCAAGGGUACAAGAGUAGCUGUGCUCCUCUGCUAGAAGCUCCAAAGAAGGUCUCAAGGUCCUCCGCACUUCUUUUCACAUCCAAACAUGCUUUGAGAUUUAAGACAUUAUCCUGAACUGAAGUUUUAUUUUUCUUU
This 280-nucleotide small nuclear RNA is filed under the name Mesocricetus auratus (golden hamster). RNAcentral's name for it is "7SK RNA". It matches the Rfam family "7SK RNA". From Rfam's summary of the family: 7SK was discovered as an abundant small nuclear RNA in the mid-70s but a possible function has only recently been suggested. Lineage: Eukaryota; Metazoa; Chordata; Mammalia; Rodentia; Cricetidae. The record is from Rfam by way of RNAcentral.